Molecule: ribosomal RNA, 244 nt
Filed under: uncultured bacterium
Lineage: Bacteria
Description: partial 16S ribosomal RNA
Rfam family: Bacterial small subunit ribosomal RNA
Source: RNAcentral
AGAGUUUGAUCAUGGCUCAGGACGAACGCUGGCGGCGUGCUUAACACAUGCAAGUCGAACGAGAAUCUACUGAAAGAGUUUUCGGACAACGGAUGUAGAGGAAAGUGGCGGACGGGUGAGUAACGCGUGAGGAACCUGCCUUGAAGAGGGGGACAACAGUUGGAAACGACCGCUAAUACCGCAUGAUGCAUAGGGGUCGCAUGAUCUUUAUGCCAAAGAUUUAUCGCUUCAAGAUGGCCUCGCG